UUACAUAAAUAUACAUAUAAGAAUAAAAGGGGGGAGGGUUUGCAUCUAUCUCUAAAUAAUACUAGGUUUAAUCAUCACUCUUGCACCUAAUAAGAGAGUAUGUCACUUUGUCCUCUGACUUAGCUGGUUUUCCUGUUGAUGUCGCAGCUGGCUGUGUCCUGGCUUGAGGUUCUGCAGCUGGAGGUGGCGCUCUAGCGGAUAGAGGGACGCCGGUGAUAUAGUUCUUGUGGAGUCUCAAUCCCCAAAAUCUAAUAUCUGUAGUGGGCACAGUAGGGCGGGUGGCCGGCUACCGUGGGCACAAGGUUACUGCGGGCAGAGCUGAUCUGCCGUGGGCAGCGUAGUUGACAGGAUAUGUCCAGUGAGUUGCAGAGGGUUGGCGUAGCUAUGACGUCUCACACAGAUCUGAAUCUAUAGGGACGUCGCACCUAAUAGCUUGACAGGUGGGCUGUCGAAUAGGCGGGCAAUGCCGAUAGCGCCAAGUGGUAGAGUUGAGUAGAUCUCAGUAGGCAAGUGCAGUGCUGAAUAGCACUAAGCACAUAAAUAGGUAAAUAGGCAGGUAAAUAGAUCGUUGAUCCAAUAAAUAGGCAGGUAAAUAGAUCGUUGAUCCAAUAAAUAGGCAGACACCUGAGGGAGGCUGCGGAUAAAUAAAGACAAGUUAGGACAUGUCUCUCAUGCAUCUUAUCGAUGCCCUCGACUGAGGUGCAUUCGUCAGCUUGGUGAAAUUGCUUUUGAGCACAAAAGGGGAGAUGAUGACAAAUGGGAUUUGGAAAAAUAGAUGGCAGAUAGUAGCAAUAUAAAAAUGUACAUAAAAGGGAAAGUAAUAAUAUAAAAUGUACAUAGAAGGGGAAAUAAUAAUCUCAAAUAAACAACACAGGUGGAUAGAGAAAGAAAA
Long non-coding RNA from Biomphalaria glabrata, 892 nucleotides. RefSeq lists it as uncharacterized. The record is from RefSeq and is a predicted model, not a curated record. The transcript is spliced from 3 exons. Lineage: Eukaryota; Metazoa; Mollusca; Gastropoda; Planorbidae.